AUGCUGGAGUACGUCAUAACCGUCGGCGUCGGCUCGCUGGCGGUGCAGCAGACCAUGACCAUGGACACCGGGAGCGACGUGUCGUGGGUGCACUGCAACUCCAACUCCACGGCCGGGUCGCCGCCCUUCGACCCCGCCAAGUCGGCCACGUACGCCGCGUUCCCGUGCGGCGCCCCGGCGUGCACACAGCUCGGUGCGGAGGCCAACGCCUGCUCCAACUCGCAGUGCCAGUACAUGGUCCGCUACGGCGACGGCUCCAACACCACCGGCACGUACGGCUACGACACGCUGGCGCUGGGCUCGGACACGGUCAAGGGCUUCCAGUUCGGCUGCAGCCGCGUCGAGGAGGGGUUCGGCGACAAGACCGACGGGCUCAUGGGGCUCGGCGGCGACGCGCAGUCGCUCAUCUCGCAGACCGCGGCGACGUACGGCAGGGCCUUCUCCUACUGCCUCCCGCCUUCCCCCGGCUCCAAGGGGUUCCUGACGCUCGGCGUGCAGACCAGCACGGCGGGCUUCGCGACCACGGGGAUGCUCCGAAGCGAGCAGGCCCCGACGUUCUACGGCGUGCUCCUCCAGGGCAUCAAGGUCGGCGGUGAGCAGCUCAGCGUGGCGCCCUCCGUCUUCUCUGCCGGGUCCGUGAUGGACUCCGGGACCAUCAUCACGCGGCUGCCGCCCACGGCGUACACAUCGCUCAAGACGGCGUUCAAGGACGGCAUGAAGCAGUACCCGACGGCGCCGUCCAGGAGCAUCCUGGACACGUGCUUCGACUUCAGCGGCCAGGACAACGUCAGCAUACCGACCGUCGCUCUGAUGUUCGACGGCGGCGCGGUCGUCGACCUCGACGCGAACGGGAUCAUAUUCGGCAGCUGCCUCGCGUUCACGACCGAGCCGGGCCACUAA
Molecule: ribosomal RNA, 900 nt
Filed under: Triticum aestivum (bread wheat)
Lineage: Eukaryota; Viridiplantae; Streptophyta; Magnoliopsida; Poales; Poaceae
Description: partial small subunit ribosomal RNA
Source: RNAcentral